GAUGAACGCUAGCGGCAGGCCUAACACAUGCAAGUCGAGGGGCAGCACGUCUUCGGAUGGUGGCGACCGGCGCACGGGUGCGUAACGCGUAUGCAACCUACCUCUUACAGUGGGAUAGCCCAGAGAAAUUUGGAUUAAUACCGCAUAGUAUACAGAUUCAGCAUUGGGACUGUAUUAAACAUUUAUGGGUAAGAGAUGGGCAUGCGUUCUAUUAGUUAGUUGGAGUGGUAACGGCACCCCAAGACAGCGAUAGAUAGGGGCCCUGAGAGGGGGAUCCCCCGACACUGGUACUGAGACACGGACCAGACUCCUACGGAGGCAGCAGUGGGGAAUAUUGCACAAUGGACGAAAGUCUGAUGCAGCGAUUCUGCGUGGAGGAUGAAGCAUUACGGUGCGUAAACUCCUUUUUUGGUAGAAGACGAAUGACGGUAUACCAAGAAUAAGGGACGGCUAACUAUGUGCCAGCAGCCGCGGUAAAGUCGUACGAUC
Molecule: ribosomal RNA, 489 nt
Filed under: uncultured bacterium
Lineage: Bacteria
Description: bacterial SSU rRNA
Rfam family: Bacterial small subunit ribosomal RNA
Source: RNAcentral